RNAcentral lists this ribosomal RNA (166 nucleotides) under uncultured bacterium. RNAcentral's name for it is "partial 16S ribosomal RNA". It matches the Rfam family "Bacterial small subunit ribosomal RNA", at positions 349 to 507 of the family's 1533-position model. The record is from RNAcentral.
CAGCAGUGGGGAAUUUUGGACAAUGGGGGCAACCCUGAUCCAGCCAUGCCGCGUGAGUGAAGAAGGCCUUCGGGUUGUAAAGCUCUUUCGUGAGGGAAGAAACGGUUCAGGCUAAUACUCUGAAUUACUGACUGUACCUCAAGAAGAAGCACCGGCUAACUACGUA